Molecule: ribosomal RNA, 494 nt
Filed under: uncultured bacterium
Lineage: Bacteria
Description: partial 16S ribosomal RNA
Rfam family: Bacterial small subunit ribosomal RNA
Source: RNAcentral
GACGAACGCUGGCGGCGUGCUUAACACAUGCAAGUCGAACGGUGAAGCGCCUUCCUUUUUGGUGGGUGUGGAUGAGUGGCGAACGGGUGAGUAACACGUGAGUAACCUGCCCCCUUCUUCUGGAUAACCGCAUGAAAGUGUGGCUAAUACGGGAUAUUCUGGGUCUGUCGCAUGAUGGGUCUGGGUAAGAUAUUGUUUCGGUGGGGGAUGGGCUCGCGGCCUAUCAGCUUGUGGGUGGGGUGAUGGCCUACCAAGGCGGUGACGGGUAGCCGGCCUGAGAGGGUGGACGGUCAGACUGGGGCGGAGGCACGGCCACGACUGCUACGGGAGGCAGCAGAGGGGAAUAUGGCACGCUGGGGGGAAGCCUGUUGCAGCGACGCCGCGUGAGGGAUGGAGGCCUGCGGGUUGUGAAACUCUUUCGCCAGUGAAGCAGGCCUGCCUCGUUUGUGAGUGGGUUGACGGUAGCUGGAUAAGAAGCUCCGGCUAACUACGUG